RNAcentral lists this ribosomal RNA (329 nucleotides) under uncultured eukaryote. RNAcentral describes it as "partial 18S ribosomal RNA". It matches the Rfam family "Eukaryotic small subunit ribosomal RNA", at positions 1470 to 1796 of the family's 1831-position model. The record is from RNAcentral.
CCCUUAGAUGUCCUGGGCUGCACGCGCGCUACACUGACGCACUCAACGAGCUUAUCACCUUGGCAGAGAUGUCUGGGUAAUCUUUUGAAAGUUCGUCGUGCUGGGGAUAGAUGAUUGUAAUUAUUCGUCUUGAACGAGGAAUUCCUAGUAAGUGUGAGUCAUCAGCUCGCGCUGAUUACGUCCCUGCCCUUUGUACACACCGCCCGUCGCUCCUACCGAUUGAAUGGUCCGGUGAGGUUCUCGGAUUUUUUCUGUUGUUUGGUUCGCUAAACGAUUGAAGAGAGAAGUUACCCAAACCUUACCAUUUAGAGGAAGGAGAAGUCGUAACA